UACGUAGGGUGCGAGCGUUGUCCGGAAUUAUUGGGCGUAAAGGGCUCGUAGGCGGCUUGUCGCGUCGGGAGUGAAAACUCAGGGCUUAACCCUGAGCCUGCUUCCGAUACGGGCAGACUAGAGGUAUGCAGGGGAGAACGGAAUUCCUGGUGUAGCGGUGAAAUGCGCAGAUAUCAGGAGGAACACCGGUGGCGAAGGCGGUUCUCUGGGCAUUACCUGACGCUGAGGAGCGAAAGUGUGGGGAGCAAACAGG
Molecule: ribosomal RNA, 253 nt
Filed under: uncultured bacterium
Lineage: Bacteria
Description: partial 16S ribosomal RNA
Rfam family: Bacterial small subunit ribosomal RNA
Source: RNAcentral